CUUUUUAUAUUCCAAAACUAAACAGAAAAAAAAGCUUUAAACAAAAAAAAAAACUAUUCUCUUCAUUCUAUCUCGAUCUACUCCUCCACCAUUAGACGACUCAGACGACUUGCUUCUCCUCUUUUAAACCCAACCGCCUCUCUUCCCACUUCUCUUAAUCCGAUAUCAAAUCUCAAAUUACCCUCUAUUUCUCCAAUAUCAGAUCCAUAGUUCUAGAAGUAAUCAAAGCUUCAAGACAUACCAAGUUUCUACUAGAUCUAUACAUGGAUUUAUUCUGCUGGGAUUCUCAGACAUGGGUUCACGACUGUUGUCUUGAAGCCUAGUGAUAAACUUUUAUCUUCUCCUCCAAUGGCGGUCAAAUCCAAUCGCCUCCUCCAUUUGCGCAACGAAGAAGAAGAAGAAGACCACAAAAGCCAUUCAGAUCUUUAUGGCGUCUUCUCUUACUUUCAAAUCCAUUCUCGGAUCCACCAAACCCGGUUCUUCUUCUCUUCCUUCGGAGCUCCGUCGUCUAUCUUCUCCCGCCGUUCAGAUCUAUCUCCGUACCCAAACUAGGAAAAACUUUCGUGAGUUCUCUGAUUAUUUUCGAAAAUUUUAGAUUCAAUCCUUUGCAUAAAGAAGAAAGAUGUGUAAUUUGAAUCUUUAGGGCAGUUCUGAUUGAUUGAAUUGAUUCACAUUUCCGCUAAAACAGAAAAGGAGAAAUGGAAAUUAUGACUCACUAAGACUUAGACACGAAAAGCAUCUGACAAACAAGAGUACAACUUUUGAUUAUUCAAUGAUAUGUGAAGUAAGAAAAAGAGUACAGCUUUUGAUUUGUGAGUUUCGUACAUGGAAAUUUACAACGAAGAAAUUGACGAUCUUUUAGGUGUUGACUGUUGAGAACCAGAGACUACAAAUUCAUGAACAUUUGGAGGUUGGUUUUGAUUAUUUUCAUCAGUAAUAUCUUCUUCAUUAGUUUGCUUAUGAGUGUUUAAAUUCUCUUGCUUUCUCUUGAUGUACAACGUGGAGUGUUUGUUGCUGGUCUUAAGAAAGAAAUUAUUAGUGACGCUGAACAGAUUUUAAAGCUUAUAGAUUUUGGAUAAGCUUUUAAAGGCAAAGCUUUACUAAGAAGUAUUUGUUUACCUACAUUUUUGUAUGUCUAAUGUGUAUUGACUUGGUCUUGUUCAAUUAACAGUUAAUAGGCACUUUGGCAAGACAAACAUGAAUGUUCAUAUUAGCAGAUAUCACACCAUCUUCAAAAUGGUAUGGUUCAUAAGCUAUCAACGGAACCUUCUACAUUUUAAAGUUUUUAAUCUGAUACAAUCUCUAUGGUGUGAUAGGUGAUUGAGAGCAGGGGAAAAGAUAAUAGUUCUUCAGAUGCUAUUUGUGGUGGAUGCAGAUCUUCUGCUAGAGACACCAUUGAAAGAGUUGCUCCUGAGCUUUGGCAAGAAAAUUUUGAAGCAAUUUGCAGGAACUGAGGUUAAGUGAGAGGAUGGUUUCAAAGACUUGUUUUCGUCAUGUGAUAAGAAUGUUGUGAGGCUUAGGUACGAGAUAACACAUUCUACGGGUAUAAAGAAGCUAGUUUAAGAAGAUGAUGAUUUUGAAGGCUUUAAGAAGUUUUUUAUUUUCCCCUUGUGAUGUUAGUUUUAGUUUGUUUAAGACUAGGCAGCAUUUUAGUAAUAAGUAUAAGACUUAAUAUGAUGUUAUGUAUGACUUGUUUGGUUAAUGAAAUAUUUACUUCUUGAUGAU
Long non-coding RNA from Arabidopsis lyrata subsp. lyrata, 1725 nucleotides. RefSeq lists it as uncharacterized. The record is from RefSeq and is a predicted model, not a curated record. NCBI's taxonomy places the organism in Eukaryota, Viridiplantae, Streptophyta, Magnoliopsida, Brassicales, Brassicaceae. The transcript has 3 exons.